GACGAACGCUGGCGGCGUGCUUAACACAUGCAAGUCGAGCGGUAAGGCCCUUUCGGGGGUACGACGAGCGGCGAACGGGUGAGUAACACGUGGGUGACCUGCCCUCCAGCUCUGGGAUAAGCCUGGGAAACCGGGUCUAAUACUGGAUAUGACUCCAUGACGCAUGUUGUGGGGUGGAAAGCCUUGUGCGGCUGAGGAUGGGCCCGCGGCCUAUCAGCUUGUUGGUGGGGUGAUGGCCUACCAAGGCGACGACGGGUAGCCGGCCUGAGAGGGCGACCGGCCACACUGGGACUGAGACACGGCCCAGACUCCUACGGGAGGGCAGCAGUGGGGAAUCUUGCGCAAUGGGCGAAAGCCUGACGCAGCGACGCCGCGUGAGGGAUGACGGCCU
RNAcentral lists this ribosomal RNA (391 nucleotides) under uncultured bacterium. Its description in RNAcentral is "bacterial SSU rRNA". It matches the Rfam family "Bacterial small subunit ribosomal RNA", at positions 28 to 417 of the family's 1533-position model. The record is from RNAcentral.